AUGGAGCGCGGCAUCUUCGUCAGCUGCGCGGCGGGGAACGCGGGUCCGGACCCGGGCUCCGUGGGCAACGGGGCGCCUUGGAUGCUCACCGUCGCGGCCGGCACCAUGGACCACGCCAUACGCACCACCGUGAGGCUCGGAAACGGCGAGGAGUUCGACGGCGAGUCCCUGUUCCAGCCAGGCAACAACUCCGCCGCAAAGCCGCUUCCGCUUAUGUACCCCGCCGCCGACGGCUCCGACACAAGCCGCGAUUGCAGCGUGCUGCGCGGAGCCGAGGUGAGCGACAAGGUGGUGCUCUGCGAGAGCAGAGGCCUGAACGGCCGCAUCGAGGCUGGCCAGACCGUGUCCGCGUACGGCGGCGUGGGCAUGAUCGUGAUGAACAGAGCAGCCGAGGGGGUACACCACCUUCGCUGA
RNAcentral lists this ribosomal RNA (414 nucleotides) under Triticum aestivum (bread wheat). RNAcentral's name for it is "partial small subunit ribosomal RNA". Lineage: Eukaryota; Viridiplantae; Streptophyta; Magnoliopsida; Poales; Poaceae. The record is from RNAcentral.